AUGCAGAGGAGGCUCCAAUGGCUAGAGAAAGCCCAGAGGCAGAGAGACAGAGAGACUAGCCAUUGAAGGUCAGUCCUGCAAGCACUGAAAUGAAAGAGGUAUAAAGAUGGAACAAAUUCAUCAAGAAAAGUAGAAAUGAGAAAGCACACAGCCCCAGAGAAAGUGAAGAUCAAAAGAAUAUCAUCUUAAGACCCGGCCCUACUUCCCUGCUGUGGGUCCAUAGAAUUCCCCUGUACUCAAUACAUCUGAGGCAACUGAGGACCAAAGAGAUUAAUAUGCCUAAAGUCAGAAGCCUAAUGAGUAAGCAGAGUAGCCAAGAUGUGAAGACAUGAACCCAGAUACACAGGCUUCAGAGCAAGAGUAUAGAAGACGUGAAACUCCGGUGACUUGGGAGUGUGUGG
RNAcentral lists this long non-coding RNA (401 nucleotides) under Homo sapiens (human). RNAcentral's name for it is "HSALNT0087246". Lineage: Eukaryota; Metazoa; Chordata; Mammalia; Primates; Hominidae. The record is from RNAcentral.